Molecule: ribosomal RNA, 623 nt
Filed under: uncultured bacterium
Lineage: Bacteria
Description: bacterial SSU rRNA
Rfam family: Bacterial small subunit ribosomal RNA
Source: RNAcentral
GUCGAGCGGUAACAUUUCUAGCUUGCUAGAAGAUGACGAGCGGCGGACGGGUGAGUAAUGCUUGGGAAUAUGCCUUAUGGUGGGGGACAACAGUUGGAAACGACUGCUAAUACCGCAUAAUGUCUACGGACCAAAGGGGGGGAUCUUCGGACCUCUCGCCAUUUGAUUAGCCCAAGUGAGAUUAGCUAGUUGGUGAGGUAAUCGCUCACCAAGGCGACGAUCUCUAGCUGGUUUGAGAGGAUGAUCAGCCACACUGGGACUGAGACACGGCCCAGACUCCUACGGGAGGCAGCAGUGGGGAAUAUUGCACAAUGGGCGCAAGCCUGAUGCAGCCAUGCCGCGUGUGUGAAGAAGGCCUUCGGGUUGUAAAGCACUUUCAGUAAGGAGGAAAGGGAUGUAGUUAAUAACUGCAUUCUGUGACGUUACUUACAGAAGAAGCACCGGCUAACUUCGUGCCAGCAGCCGCGGUAAUACGAGGGGUGCAAGCGUUAAUCGGAAUUACUGGGCGUAAAGCGUUCGUAGGCGGUUGAUUAAGCAAGAUGUGAAAGCCCAGGGCUCAACCUUGGAACUGCAUUUUGAACUGGUCAACUAGAGUACUGUAGAGGGUGGUGGAAUUUCCAGUG